This 234-nucleotide long non-coding RNA is filed under the name Elaeis guineensis (African oil palm). RNAcentral's name for it is "long non-coding RNA (EGUI_LNC027208)". Lineage: Eukaryota; Viridiplantae; Streptophyta; Magnoliopsida; Arecales; Arecaceae. The record is from RNAcentral.
UCCUGGACCGUCGCCACGACCUCAGAACGGAUGAUGGGCCAGUAUUGCCUGAAAAAUAAGGAAAAAAAUCCAUCAGAUCUGGAAGCCUUAUCUUCCACCAUCGACCAGAGCAUCGAUCGAACCUCUUCCUCCGUCACUACACCAAUGAGAUCGAUGUUCUCUUGCUUAGUAACCACCCUCUCUAGGGGAAGAGUAUUGCGGUGCGAACUCUCCUUAAGAGAUGAAAUCCACCAA